This 395-nucleotide ribosomal RNA is filed under the name uncultured bacterium. Its description in RNAcentral is "bacterial SSU rRNA". It matches the Rfam family "Bacterial small subunit ribosomal RNA", at positions 358 to 770 of the family's 1533-position model. The record is from RNAcentral.
GGAAUAUUGGACAAUGGGCGAAAGCCUGAUCCAGCCAUGCCGCGUGAGUGAUGACGGCCUUAGGGUUGUAAAGCUCUUUCAGUGGGGAAGAUAAUGACGGUACCCACAGAAGAAGCCCCGGCUAACUCCGUGCCAGCAGCCGCGGUAAUACGGAGGGGGCUAGCGUUGUUCGGAAUUACUGGGCGUAAAGCGCGCGUAGGCGGAUCUUUAAGUCAGGGGUGAAAUCCUGGGGCUCAACCUCAGAACUGCCCUUGAUACUGGAGAUCUUGAGUCCGGAAGAGGUUAGUGGAAUUCCCAGUGUAGAGGUGAAAUUCGUAGAUAUUGGGAAGAACACCAGUGGCGAAGGCGGCUAACUGGUCCGGUACUGACGCUGAGGUGCGAAAGCGUGGGGAGCA